GGAGGCUCUUAUCACAUUCUGCUAAUGGUAGAUGUAUGAUAAAUAAAAAUACAAUAGUAAUUCCUAAUACAAAAAACUUAUUUUUUCUGAUAAUAAAUAUAUGGUUUGCCCAAUAAUUUAAUACAUACAUACUUAAGUUGACUAGAGUAGAGUAUAUAACAUGUCAUGGCAUUUUCUAUAACAUUGAAUUUUUAAAACAACUACAUGCAUUGCUGCCUAUCUGCUUUAAAGGUAUCACUACAGUAAAAAUAUAUAGGAUUUAAGAAUGAAAUGGACACAGAUCAUUUCCAAUUUGAAUGACCUAUUCCAUGCCACUUUUCGGAUGUUAGAUGGCACAUCUUUAAUUACCUGUUAUAAAUGGAUUAAACUUAAAAUUGAUAUAUCAGUAAUAAGCAUGCAUUUAUCUUUUUGAACAAAGAAAAAUAUCAUAAUAAGAAGAAAAAAACA
This 447-nucleotide long non-coding RNA is filed under the name Mytilus galloprovincialis (Mediterranean mussel). The record is from RNAcentral. Lineage: Eukaryota; Metazoa; Mollusca; Bivalvia; Mytilida; Mytilidae.